AACGAACGCUGGCGGCAUGCCUAACACAUGCAAGUCGAACGAAACCUCCGGGUCUUGUGGCGCAUGGGUGCGUAACGCGUGGGAACCUGCCCUUAGGUUCGGAAUACCUCCCCGACAGGGGUGAUAAUACCGGAUAAUGUCUUCGGACCAAAGAUUUAUCGCCUUUGGAUGGGCCCGCGUUGGAUUAGCUAGUUGGUAGGGUAAAAGCCUACCAAGGCGACGAUCCAUAGCUGGUCUGAGAGGAUGAUCAGCCACACUGGGACUGAGACACGGCCCAGACUCCUACGGGAGGCAGCAGUGGGGAAUAUUGGACAAUGGGGGAAGGCCUGAUCCAGCAAUGCCGCGUGAGUGAUGAAGGCCUUAGAGUUGUAAAGCUCUUUUACCCGGGAUGAUAAUGACAGUACCGGGAGAAUAAGCCCCGGCUAACUACGUG
RNAcentral lists this ribosomal RNA (433 nucleotides) under uncultured bacterium. Its description in RNAcentral is "partial 16S ribosomal RNA". It matches the Rfam family "Bacterial small subunit ribosomal RNA", at positions 29 to 507 of the family's 1533-position model. The record is from RNAcentral.